Macrobrachium nipponense is the source of this 291-nucleotide long non-coding RNA. RefSeq lists it as uncharacterized. The record is from RefSeq and is a predicted model, not a curated record. The transcript has 4 exons. NCBI's taxonomy places the organism in Eukaryota, Metazoa, Arthropoda, Malacostraca, Decapoda, Palaemonidae.
GAAAACCCAAAGACUUUUGGAAAACCGUCGCAGAAAUCUCUGUAGUGAAGCCUUUGUGGCUGUGGUGUCCGCUGUAAAGAAGGUUCUGGAGAUUUCUACAGCUGUGAAGGUACCAAGGACACUUUCGUACCCGAGUGAGAUGCUGGUUCCAAGGACACUUUCGUACCCGAGUGAGAUGCUGACACGCUCGAGAGUAAUUUAGGAGAGGCGAGAAGAGAACGGGGAGGCAAGAGGAUCGCUGUUAAGUCGGGGAGGCAAGAGGAUCGCUGUUAAGUCAAGUGAAACUAAAUA